Molecule: long non-coding RNA, 277 nt
Filed under: Nicotiana benthamiana
Lineage: Eukaryota; Viridiplantae; Streptophyta; Magnoliopsida; Solanales; Solanaceae
Description: long non-coding RNA (NBEN_LNC001767)
Source: RNAcentral
UGAAAUCUUGUUGGACAGGAUAAUCUAUUUGUUCUUUAAUCAUAUUUUUAAUAAAUUUUGGUUUAUUAAACCAAGACAUAGCUCAAUAAAGGAAGUGUUAACUUCCAUAACCUGAGUAGAUCUUUCAUGGCUCUGAUACCAAGUAUUGAGCAGGACCUUUUUAGGGCUAUAGGCCUUUUACAAAGCUGGGAUUUAUUCAGUUUAAUUUAUUUUAUGCAAACCACGAAUUAAUUGUUAUAAACCCGACCGGGAACAUCCCUAGGCGAUACAACCUGCC